GGUCCCUUAGUUUAAUGGAUAGAAUGCAAGAUUCCGGUUCUUGUGAUGGAGGUUCGAAUCCUCCAGGGAUCG
Molecule: transfer RNA, 72 nt
Filed under: Bacteroidales bacterium OttesenSCG-928-I21
Lineage: Bacteria; Pseudomonadati; Bacteroidota; Bacteroidia; Bacteroidales
Description: tRNA-Arg
Rfam family: tRNA
About the family: Transfer RNA (tRNA) molecules are approximately 80 nucleotides in length.
Source: RNAcentral